GUUUUAGUAUAAGUAUGUCCCAUUGCAACAUUUGGGAUAUACUUUUACUAAAA
Molecule: microRNA precursor, 53 nt
Filed under: Pan troglodytes (chimpanzee)
Lineage: Eukaryota; Metazoa; Chordata; Mammalia; Primates; Hominidae
Description: mir-1302 microRNA precursor family
Rfam family: mir-1302 microRNA precursor family
Source: Rfam by way of RNAcentral